RNAcentral lists this long non-coding RNA (19117 nucleotides) under Daucus carota (carrot). RNAcentral describes it as "long non-coding RNA (DCAR_LNC004830)". The record is from RNAcentral. Lineage: Eukaryota; Viridiplantae; Streptophyta; Magnoliopsida; Apiales; Apiaceae.
CAAAUUUUACUGUUAUUAAUGUAUGUAAGUUUAGAAAGAACAGUAGUUAAUGACGUGUCAUGAGCAAAUCUUUGCAUGCAGAAUAUAUAAGUCCUUGAAAACACGUCCAUGCAUGUAUAACUUUUGCUAGAUAGCAACAGUAAAUGUGUAAUACAUGGAUAACUCAUACACUGAUUUAUUACAGCAUAUAGUACUACUUGCUCAUAACCUAUUUUAGCCGAAACAUAAGAGGUAAUGAGCUUAUAGAUACAUACACUCGUAACAUUAUUAUUUUCAGCAGUUCUUAUUUAUUGUAAUUACACUACAUGACGUCUUAGUUUCCGGUAUUCUCAACUGGAGGGUGUCCAGGGUGGUGACCGUAUGGAGGAUUAGGCUUAUGUGUAGGCGGUGGCCUCACGACGAUUGGUGGCAAGUGUGGUGGCUUAUGUUCUGGCACAGGCUUCUCAGUCUUCGGUGGUUGGUACACCGGGCUCGGCUUGUGCUCCCCUGUCGCUGGCUCGUGAACCGGAGGUUUAUGCUCUGUUGGUGGCUUGUGAACCGGUGGCCUGUGAAUCGGUUGUGGUUUAUGAAUAGGAUGGGCCGGGUAAUGAUCAUCGGUUAAGGAGGGAGUGUUGUGAACCGGUGGUUUGUGAAUUGGUGGCUUGUGAACGGGUGGUUUCUGCUCUGGUGCUGGCUUCUGAACAGGUGGUUUGUACACUGGUGGCUUGUGAAUAGGGUAAUGAUCUUCAGUCACGGAGUUGGUUGCUUCCACCGGAGGUUUAUAUUCGGAAGGUGGUUUGUGAACGGGUGGUGUAUAAACUGGUGGCUUGUGAACGGGUGGUGUAUAAACGGGAGGCUUGUGAAUUGGUGGUUUGUGAACGGGUGGUGUAUAAACGGGAGGCUUGUGAAUUGGCGGGUGAGAAUGAAAAUCGGCUAGGGAUGGAGCUGCGAAAAUCGCAACUCCUAAAAUGAGGAGUAGGUUCAUGUGUGUGAGAGACAUCUUGAUAACCGACGAGGUGAGAGUGUUGAUGUUGUAUUUUCCUCAUGCAGUGAUUGGGUUUUUAUAGGAGUUGAUGGACACUGUUCGGCUGGAUUGAUCGUCAACAAGUUUGAAUUAUUUUGCUUUUAGACGUAGAGGAUGUAGAGAAUUUCAACAUUGAGAUUAGGACAUGUUGAAAAUAUUGAUGCUUGUUGUUUUUAUUCAUGAAAAAGAUGAGGUUUGCUUAUAGUACAGUUGUGUCGAAAUAUUGGACUGCAUAUCAAAGCUUGCCACGUCCAUCCUAGGACACUGAUCAUAAAAUCUGAACAGAUAUGAAAAUCAAGAAAAUUGAAAGAAAACAUUUGAACUCGGGCGCCAAAGAAAUUUUACUAUGUAGAACUUAUCAUUUUUCAUAUAUUAUUUAACAAAAACCGACUUGCAAAAUAGCAAGUGAAUUAGGUGAUAUGCUCAAGUACGCACAGAAGAGUGAGGGAACCGACAGAAUUUUGGCUGUAUGCAUGAAUGUGAAACUGGGACUAGUCAGUGAGGACUGAGGAGUGUCUAAUUGUCAAAAUAAACGACUAGGAUUACUGACCACAUAUCUAUACCAUACAGUAUAUAGGUACGAAGAAGACAAAAUAAGAAAAAAUCACAUGGACAAACACCGGAGCCUAGUGCUGUAAUCCGAUCCGGGCAGCUCGCGAGCUCGCCCGGCUCGAACUCGUUUUAAUGGGCUCGGCUCGGCUCGUUUAGUUAAUCGAGCUCGAGUUCGGGCAGAGGUUUUGGCUCGUUUUGUUAAACGACUCGCCCGACUCGUUAAACUCGGCUCGUUUAACUAAACGAGCCAGCUCGACUCGACUCGUGAAAAUAAACGAGUCGAGUUCGGGCAAAGGUGUAGGCUCGUUUUCUUAAACGAGCCGGCUCGGCUCGACUAAAUAAAACUCGGCUCGAAUUAUGCCCGGCUUGAAACUCGGCUCGCCCGGACCGAAUAACAACCCUACCGGAGCCUGUUGUGCUGGCGUAAACACAAACAGGCUCAAACAUCUUCAACGGAUUAAAAAUUACGAAUGUUAUACUUUUAUACAGGAAAAAAAAUCCUAAAAAUAAGUAAUAUAACCAUACUUUAUUGAAGCACUAAAAUCCGUUUCGCGCUCUCGUGUCCCCAUGUAUACUAUUGGCUGGACGGAGAGAGUAAUUUUGAUCAACUAAUUAAUCAUGUGAUACCCUAAAUUAUAAUUUUGAUUAAUAAAUUAGUCGUGUAAUAUCUUAAAUUAUAAUUUUGAGCUAUGUCAAAAAUUUGUUCCAGUAAAGUUCUUAUUCAUUUCUAAACAUAAUAUAAUUGAAUACCAUCAGAUUUUAAAGUAUAAUUUAAAUUUUCAAUUAAACACUCGUAGAUUAUGUUACAUUUUUAUAAUCUGAAUCAAAUAUCCUCAGAUUUCAUGAAUGAAAAAUAUAUUUUAAAAUUAUAAUUGAAUACAACCCAUAAGUUCAGCGUAAAUGUAAAACUUACAUGAGGUUAGUGUAAAUGAUUCAUCCCGGAUAUUUGAGAUAACCAUUAACCAAACUAGUUGCAGAAGUGAUGAUACGACAUCAAUAUAAAAUUUAAAUUUCAUUUGAAUCUGUAUUUGAUCAAAUAAUAUAUUUGAAUAUAUAAGGACGAAUUUGAAUUUUAGUUGAAAUUCAGAAGAUCCAAAUGCUAGUAUAAAGUUGAAAAUAUGAAAUGACUUAAAAUUAUGUCAUUUGAAAUAAAAUAGAUAUUUCAGAAUACAAUCUUAAAGAAUUAUGCGAUCUUUUGCGGACUGAAAAACCAAGGCAGCCUAUUGCUGUCAAAAAACAGAGAGCUCAAACAUGGUUGGAUUCCCAAGUUGAAGUCUUUUGAUAGUAGAUGAUAGCAUUUCCUUGUGGCAGGUAAAUGGAAUUUGUGAAAAUUGAUCUUUCUCUUCUCUCUGUGUCUUGGCUCAAAGGCUGCUGCCAGCUUGACUCAACUCUGUGAUAUAUAGUAAAUUUGAAUUAAAGAGGAAUAAUAAAAUGUUGUCAAGUAGUGUUUUCUUUCUCUUUUCUGUUUGUCAAAACUUAAGAGUUGAGAACAAAAUUGAUGAGAAGAAAUUAAAAUCUUAGAGUUGAUAUCCUCAUCCCAUUAAGAUCCUUGUUCACGAACUUUAAAUAGAACUGCUGCAACAAAUUCAUACUAUUCAUUCAUCAAAUCCUACGUUGAAUUCAAACAAAUUUGAACUACAGCCCUCAUCAAUUUAGGAAUGAAUAGUUCCCAUCUCUACUUAUCUUCUUUGCUGAAAAAUUUGCACUCUUUUAACACUAAAAACUAAAUUUACCACCUGAUUUUAUUGGUACCAACCUAGCUAAAGAUACACACUUUCCUAACACAACUAGCUGAUAAUAAGAACAAGAGCAUAUGAAAUAAAUAGUACUCCCUCCGUCCCUUUUUACUUGUCCCUUUUGGAAAAAAAACGCAUCUUAAGAAAAUGUUAGUUGGAUAUCUUGUUUUCAUACAUAUCCCUAAUAAAUGUAAUGAAUUAGAUAGAGUUGUGUGUAUAUAUAUGUUAGUCAAACAUUGAAAGUUGUUACUUUUUGAAAAAACAUACAAAAAGUUGCUUUGAAAAGAGAAGUGGACAAGUAAUUUGGGACAAUUUUUUUUUUCAAAGUGGACAUAUAAAAAGGGACGGAGGGAGUAUGCUACUGAGCUAUUCCCUUGAGCUGAAGAGCCCACUCUACCCGAGCAACGGUUGGGCUCACCCAGAAUCCCAACAGCUUCACUUCCUCUGGAUUUUCUUCAGGACGCAGUGCGACAGAAUGCACUUUCAACGAUAGAUUAAAAUCAUAUAGAACAGUGUUAAGUAUGAAGCUGUUUAUGUGACACCCAAAUUGAGUUGGAAAAAAAAAAGGAGUAAACAUGCUGCAUGAGCAAACAUAACCACUUACAUCCUCCGCAUUACAGGACGAAAAUAGUAUCUUUACGGAAACCUAACUGUGCCAAUUCCAGAAGUACGAAACUGAAAGAAAUAUGAGCUCCAGCUAUGAACAAUGGAAAACCACUUACCCUACCUGUUUGCCUGAACUAGUCUCCGCAUCUAUUUCUACAUGGCUUUGCUGCUUCAGAUCAGAAGAUACUGAACACGAUUGUGGAACUGAAAAGGAAGUCAUGCUGCAAGUUGCUUGUUUCUUUGCGGAAGAGGAUACAGCUGUGGAACACAAGUCAUCAUCUAUCUUUGAAGUCUCGCCUUCACUGUUACUGAUUUGCAUGUUCCGUUGAUGUUGUUCUUCUUCAAGAGGUAGUAAUCUCUUGCGACUAGAGAAGCCAUUCUUGAAAUUUUGCAUGGAAGGUACCUGUUGGUCGUGGGAGGAGGCCGCAGAGCAAGGAGCCUUCUCCUUUAGAACAACCUUUGGAAUCACUAAAUUGUCAAUGCAAUCAGAGUUAUCACCAACUUCAUCAGUCCCAUCAGAUUUCUCUGCUCUUGCAACAGCUUCUCUCUCCCUCAUGAUCAAUAAAGCCUCAGUUAGGCGUUCUCUUGCUAAAUCGAUAUCAACAAUAGGCACUGGAUAGUUUAAUCCCAAUUCCACUCCUGCAGAUCUAAGUACACUAGGAGGUGCAUCCCAAGGAUGAUGAAUCCACUCGGAGGGCAUCCUUGCUAGUUCAGGCAGCCAUUGCCUCACAUAUUCACCCUCUGGAUCAAAUUUAAAUCCCUGAACCUGGAUCGUAAUUGAAGAACAAUUAAGAUCUGAGGUCUCAACAAAAAGCAGUGUAAAAUUACUUCCAUCUAGUAAGGUAUAGCUCAGUAUAGCAUCAACAACAAAGUGACUUAUUUUUAUAAGUAUCCUACUUGAUAUUAGUAUUUUCAAUAAGCUUAUUUGAAUCCCCCAUGACAAAAAAGAGAAGCAAUCACCAUAGUACCUUCAAGCUUUCUGUAACUCAAAAAUAUAUUUUCCCUCCCAUUUAGUUAUCUCCUCAGGCAUGAGUCUCAUAAGGAAACUCUUCAUUUGAAAAGAUUUUCUUUCAGUGCAAAAAUGUAACUAUACAAGGCAGAAGUGUCAAAGAAGAUCAGUCAAUUUAAUUGUAUACGGAUUCAGUAUAAAGGAUUAGAAAACAACACACUGUCAAACCAUUCUGAAAUUGUGAGUGCCUGUUCUUCCAAAAAUGAUUUUAUUAUAACAAACUUACGAUUCAUCUCUUAAAAACACUACAACCCUUCAAUAAUCAAAAAAUCAGAAACCUGACAUAAACUAAAACUAUACAUGUGAUAUUUCUUUGUGCUAAUUAGGCAUACUUACUUAAUUUUUCAAUAUAUACACAAUAGGAGCAUUGUAAAAUAUAGCCUGUAUAGGAAGGGAAUUAACGUGUACCUGUGGGCUAUCUAGACGCUCAAGCUCAUGUCCAUCUGGCAAGCUACCUGAUAUGUACUGCCAGCCAAGAAUAUCAGUUUCCAAAUCUGAGUCCAGAAGGGUAUCCCAGAAAUAUUUCAUUCCCCAUUGCCAUGGUAGAAGCAAAAACUUUACAAAAAACCCAGAAACAAUCACUCUUAUCCUAUUGUGCAUCCACCCAGUUGCCCAAAGCUCUCUCAUACCUGCAUCAACUAAUGGAUAACCAGUACGACCCUGUCUCCAAGCCUUAAAAUGGGCUUGAUCUGCUUUCCAGGGGAAAUACUUUAGGUUGCUCAGCAAUGAUCUUUCAUGAGUAAAUGGGUAGUUAAAACAAAUGUAGCGAGAAUAUUCUCUAAAACCUAUAGCCCGAAGAAACAGUGAAACACUUUCUUGUCCAACACAAUUCCCUUCUUUUGCCCACAGUAAUUGCUUCAUGCGCACACACUGGAAUACUCUCCUCACACUCAUUUCCCCAAAAUGAAGAUAUGGUGAAAAGAGCGACGUUGUGUUCCCUGCAACUGUUGCCCUCUCCUUUGAGUAGUCGAUCAGAUUUUCUUCUACGAAUGCCGAUAGAGCCUUAUCAGCAUUGCUCCAACCAGGAGACCAUCCUCUUCCUAAUAAAGCAUUGCUAGCUUUUUCCAUUUCAUUUUCAAGCCCCAGAUCAUCAAUUGAGCAAUUGUCUACUAUUCCUGUCAUUUGCACAUUGGAAUCCACACUUAAAUUGCGCAGCUAUAUACUGAGUUUAUUUUAUCUUCUUCUAAUGCUAUAAUACUCUAUUGCUUUAGGAAUACAAUUAUGUAUCAUCAUGAAUUUGUCCAUAUUAUGGCUGGCAAUGGGGUCAAAAUUUAAUUAGAAGAAAGCAUGCAAAUUUGACAAGAUUGCACAGUGAGAGUACCUUCAACAGGAACUAAUCGCCAUGGAGGAAGAUGUGAAUCGGGUUCUUUUUGCAUGCUUAAGCACCUCGUCCAGUAUGCAUCAAAGGUUGUAAAGGCAUGUCCUUCAUUAUCGUAUAUUUCCCAUGGUUCAUACAAUAGAUCUCCAUUGUAGCUUUGCACUGAUAUACCAAGCUCCCCAAGCUUUUGUUUGAUAGUGUGAUCUCGAACAAGUGAAACAGGAUCUGGAUAAUAAUUAAAAAGCCAGAGACAAUAAGAUAAACCUAGAGACUGCAAUUUGUUGGGAGGGGGAUAUGUACUACACUUUUUGAUGUCAUAGUAAGCAAUUGAGCUUCUAUAUAAACAGUAUUCUGUAUUUAUGUGCAUGUCAAGACAGAUGCAUGAAUAACAUAUGCUUUCUAGUUGAAGGCUUACAAAAUACUAUUCUCUUCUUCAUAUGAUAUGACCCACAAACAAUGCACUUCAGUAACAGUGUGCAUACACCAUAAUAUGCUUAAGCAACUUCGAUUUGAAAUUAAUUACUUGAGACUCCACAAUGCACUGUUUUUAGUGUGUAUGAUUCGUUAGGAGCACAUGUUACUGCAGCACUUAUUAGGCUAUAUCUCAUACAUUUCCAUUCAAAUCCCAUGUUUGUUUAAAAGUUUAGUAUCACUUCUGCAUAAUUGAUAUCUGUAUAAGCUCGUAUGCUAUUAUACAGUUAUACCCUCUCCUUGUGACCUUAACUACAAAGUCUUUCCGGAUAAAUAUGUUCAAAGCAAUAGAUUACAACUCACCUUAUAAUAGGAAAUAUAUGCUCUCUAGUCUAUGAGAUUAGUGUGAUCAUGUUUUCAUGCCAAGCUUCGGACAUUUAUCAGGUCUUUUUAGUAAAUUCAAUCACCCUACUUUAGCAUUCUAGCAUUGUAGGAGAUUCGUAGAGUUAGUGAGUCAUCAUAUUUCACAAAGUUUAUGUAAUCUAGCCAUUAGUUGAGGUCACAGUAUCACACAAAAUAUAUACACAAAUGCUAGAUGAAGUGAUAACUUUACUAUACAUAUGUUGAAAUCAAAACAACCAAGUCAUAACAAAAAGAUAGUUCAGGACUUUGAUCUCAUAUAUGAAUCGAAUAACAAUUUGUUGUCAAGGCUCAGUCUUAGAGUAUGUUACCGCACUUAAGUUCCAUAGCAAGAAGGGAAGUAUAGACUUCUAUAACUAGAGGCUGAACCAAGAGGUUUUUCUCUUAAAACUUUUUGCAAAUUCACUAAAUAUAAAGAAGCUCAAGUGAAGCUUUCUGCAAAGACCUCCUUUGAUCAUUAGGCAUCUUGAACAAUCAUUAUUUUAUCGAACAUGAUUUCUAUGUUUUGAAGGAUGCUAUAUGGAAAAGUGAAAGUAACUACUCACGAGUUAAGAGUUAACACUACUUAACAUGACUUCUCCUAAAAUUAGAGUAUGUAAUGAAACUUUUAUCGCACUAGAGUAAGAAGUUUUUUUCACAGUAAGAAGGGAAGUAUAUACUUCUGUAACUAGAUGCUGAACCAAAUUUUUUUGUUUGUGAGCCGUUUGAAAAUUUUAUGAAUAUGUAGCAAGGACAAGCUUUCUCUAAAGUCCUUCUUUGAUCACUUGGUAAAUUGAGCAAAUAUAUUACAACAUGAAACACAAUUUGGUAUGACUUUUCUUCUACCAUGUUUCAAGGGAUCCUAUCUGAGAAAGUAGUUAAUCACCAGAUUAGCCAUUAUUAAUCUGUGAUAGCCCUUGACCUAGAUAAUUAAGCUCCUGAUCAUUAUUUGAAGGAAAACAAAACCGAAAAAGAAUAAGGAUCAUACCAUAAAGAUGGUUAUAGGCUAUUUUUGUUGCCCCAACAGCACUAAUGCAUUCCAGAAGAGCUUUUAAAGUGCUCCGAGCUUUUAUUAAAAUAAGUUUAGCCCCAAGAGACUCAAGUGACUGCUGCAGAUGUAUGAGAGAUUGCUUGAGCCACCACCUCGAAACCCUUCCCGGGUAGAAUUGCCCUUCUUCCUGUGGACACCAUAUAAAAACAGGCAGAACAGAACCAUCUCUAGCAGCUGCAGCUAAGGCUGGAUUGUCAUCGAUCCGGAGAUCCCUCCGGAACCAAACAAUGGUCUUGCCAUCAGUAUCCAUCGUGUUAAGUGACCAGUUCUCCUAAUCCCGACGAAAAGAUCUUAUUAUAUCAUCAACACGUCAUAAAUUGUGUUAAGUUACCAGUUCUCCUGAUCCGACGAGGAGAUCUUAUUAUAUCAUCAACACGAUCAUCAUUUCAUGCAGCAAACUUGACGAUACUCAACAAGUAAACAAUUAUAUAAACUCUAAAGGCAAAAGAGAGAGAGCAACAAAUAAAGAGAAACAGCACUACGUAGCAACCAUAAUAAUUGGAAUAACGAAUUUGUAGCAGACAGGAGGAUUGUGUGACAUGUGACAAAGUUGCAGAAAUCUGAAAAAACAAACAACUCAAGAUCCCAACACAUAUGGUAAAAAAUAAUAUCCACACAAUGGAAGGACCACCACUAACAAGUUGACAAGAAAAAAACAAAUAAAGUAAGAGGUAUAUGUCCCAUGUGUGUUUUAUUGCAUAGAAAAUGACAGCAAAAAUAGGUGAAUAAUCCUCAUGAGUCAUGGGUCGAUGCCGAGACUACCCCCACUUGAUCACCAUCUUCUACUGUACAAUCUUCUUUGAGCAUUUUACUCUGCCCAUCUUUAUUUGGACACUUGCUUACACUAGUUAGCACUUGGCACUAGUGCUCUAAUAUUAAAUUGACUACCUGUAUAUGUCAUGUGAUAUUGCAACUUUAUCAUUAACGGGACGUACCUAAACCCGACUUCUGCUUUUAUAAGUUUGAAAAAGGAUUUAUUCUUUCGUUUGUAUAAAACGUCAAGAGUAAUUAUAAAAACUAGUAUCAUAAUUAUACCGUAAAUAUAUACAACAUUUUAUGCAAAAGCUAUGAUAAUAUUAUAAUUUUUCUUGAGAUAAAUAAUUUUCACAAGUAGAAACUAAUUUCGGUAUCAAUCUCAAUUUUUUUGUCAGGGUAUUAGCCUCAAUUUAAACAGAAAAUUUUUGUUAGUUUGUAAAAAUUAUAUUUAGAGGGUUCUAAUUUUAUGCUACGAUAUUUAUACUCUGAAAAAUAGAAGUCAGCGACUAUUCUAAUUUUGCUAUGGUUGUUCUGGCAAAACGUGUCAAUCUAAGCAACUGCAAAUUGCUGAAUCUUAUGUCGGUGACAGAGUCUCUCUAUGUCGGUAAAAAUAGGAAAUGUGAAUGAAGAGAAGUAGUACGAGUGUGAUGAAGGAUUAUCUCAAUCACGUGGGUGCCCCAGAUUAUCACGUGGGCUUGUUGGAUUCUUGUGAAACAGGUACACUCAAAUAAAUUAUGCCCAUGCCCUUUUGUCCCGUCAAAUAUAAAAUCAAACUGCACCAUAAAUCUUAAAAAAGUAAUUUUGUAAUUGUAUUCACAGUACUGGCCUCUCCUAGCGGUAAAAUUUAUCUAUGUAUAAGUACAUGUAUGACUGUAUGAGUAUGAACCAAUUUGAUUGGUUCAAAAUAACGUUCUUGGAAUAAUUUAAAAUAAAAGUUGAUGCCUUUUUAAUAUUCUGACGAAUUACCCAAAUGAGCGGUUAAGCAACAAUGACUGAAAGUUUCAGAGUAUCAUAUUGGAUGAAAAGGAGAUGUAUCAUAGGGGCCGUUUGGCUAAACUUAAAAAAAGUGAUUUUUUACUUAAAGUAAAGAAAUGGAGGAGAAGUGAGAAGUAAAAAAGUUAAUAAAGUGUUUGGAAAACAAGUAGAAGCUGUGAGAGAGAAGUUAGCAUUCUUAGCUUCUUAAAAGUGCUUCUGCUUCUUUACACAAACGGGUCAAGAAAAGUAGAAACCAGAAGUAGAAGCUACUUCCACUUCCCAAAGAGGCCCAUAUACUCGACACGGGCAUUUUAAUAAAAUAUACUCCCUCUGUCCCUUUGAAAAGGAGAUGUAUCAUAUACUCUCUUCCCGUGAUUAGUAUACAGUGACACGGGCAUUUUAAUAAAAUAUACUCCCUCUGUCCCUUUAUUUAUACUCUGAAAAAUAGAAGUCAGCGACUAUUCUAAUUUUGCUAUGGUUGUUCUGGCAAAACGUGUCAAUCUAAGCAACUGCAAAUUGCUGAAUCUUAUGUCGGUGACAGAGUCUCUCUAUGUCGGUAAAAAUAGGAAAUGUGAAUGAAGAGAAGUAGUACGAGUGUGAUGAAGGAUUAUCUCAAUCACGUGGGUGCCCCAGAUUAUCACGUGGGCUUGUUGGAUUCUUGUGAAACAGGUACACUCAAAUAAAUUAUGCCCAUGCCCUUUUGUCCCGUCAAAUAUAAAAUCAAACUGCACCAUAAAUCUUAAAAAAGUAAUUUUGUAAUUGUAUUCACAGUACUGGCCUCUCCUAGCGGUAAAAUUUAUCUAUGUAUAAGUACAUGUAUGACUGUAUGAGUAUGAACCAAUUUGAUUGGUUCAAAAUAACGUUCUUGGAAUAAUUUAAAAUAAAAGUUGAUGCCUUUUUAAUAUUCUGACGAAUUACCCAAAUGAGCGGUUAAGCAACAAUGACUGAAAGUUUCAGAGUAUCAUAUUGGAUGAAAAGGAGAUGUAUCAUAGGGGCCGUUUGGCUAAACUUAAAAAAAGUGAUUUUUUACUUAAAGUAAAGAAAUGGAGGAGAAGUGAGAAGUAAAAAAGUUAAUAAAGUGUUUGGAAAACAAGUAGAAGCUGUGAGAGAGAAGUUAGCAUUCUUAGCUUCUUAAAAGUGCUUCUGCUUCUUUACACAAACGGGUCAAGAAAAGUAGAAACCAGAAGUAGAAGCUACUUCCACUUCCCAAAGAGGCCCAUAUACUCGACACGGGCAUUUUAAUAAAAUAUACUCCCUCUGUCCCUUUGAAAAGGAGAUGUAUCAUAUACUCUCUUCCCGUGAUUAGUAUACAGUGACACGGGCAUUUUAAUAAAAUAUACUCCCUCUGUCCCUUUAUUUCUUUACGGUUACUAUUUUGGGAUGUCUCUUUCAUUUCUUUGGGUUAUUAUAAUUAAUAAAUUUUUUUCAUCAUUACACCCACUACUUUCCUCCACUAUCUCGAAUCUAUUAUUAAAUAUUAAUAGGUCCCACCAUUUUACCCAUUUUUUGUCUAACUUUACUCAUUUUUUAUACAUUGUCUUGGUCUCCGUGUCCCCCUCCAAUAUAAACAAUUGACGGGGACGGAGGGAGUAAUUUUAUAAUUUUUUUUAUAUUUUACAUUUUUGGGUAAGAUGUAAUAUUUAAAUUGAUAUUAAAAAGAAAUUUAAAAAUAAGUUAUAUACUAUACCUACAAAAAUAUUAAAAUUAAAUCUUUAUCGAAUAUUGAAAAAGAAAAUAGGAGUAUGUAUUUUGUUGAAAGUUGUUUCAAACAAAACUGAGGUAUAGAAAUAACCAAACUGACAGCAAGUUCAAAUUCUAAAAUCUUGACCAAUUAUUCUGAAUAUUAGUUUAGGCCUCCGGGCGAGCACAAGUUAAUAUUACAUAAAAUUUACUUUCUCAGUAAUUUGUAAUUAUUAUUUUCUAUAUUUUAAUAUGUAAUUUAAUUUAAUUAUCUAUAUUUACAUUUAUUCAUAUCUUUAAAACUUUAAUAGGAAUCAAAUCUUAAAUAUUUAUCUAAAUUUCGGUUCACAUGUGAGUUGAAAAUUUUAACAACUGCGGUGAAAAGAAAUGAUAAGUUUUACCUUCAGGCAGAGAACAUAGGCAUCUACGGCUUGCAGCGAAGGAGGAGGGGAAAAAAAGGAAGGAGAGAGAAAACAAAUGUAUUUUAAUUAUUUUUAAAAUUUAAUAUAAAAUAUCGAAUUCUAAUAAUUUUAGACAUUAAUAGUUAUUUUCAUCUUCAACAACAUUUUUAUGUUCAUUAUUAUGUAACAUUUUAUCAUGAAAAGAUAUUAUUAUUACAAAAAAUGAAAAGUGAGAGUGUUUAUUCACAGGGGCCAUUUAGACAUUUAAAAAAGAUGACUUCUUACUUAAAAUAAAGAAGUGUAUUCGAAGUGAGUGGUAAAUAAGUUAAUAAAAUUUUUGGAAAAAAAGCCUCUGUGAGAUUCAGAGAUAUGUUAGCAUUCUCAGCUUGUUAAAAGUGCUUCUGCGUAUUUACACAUAUGGGUUAAGAAAAACAGAAGCACGGACGCAGCAACUGCUUCAGUGUUAAACAAACAAGGCCUAUAUAUACUACGCUGUGUGAUAGAAUAUAUUUUAAAUAUAUUCUAGAUGAUUUUAUUCUCAUAUUUAAUUGUAUUUUGCAUUGAUUUGGAUAAUUAUUUAAUAGAUUUUAAUGUUUUAUUGUAAAGUGCAAGGAAUUCCUAAAGUUGGAAAGAUUUGAAGAAAUGAAUCUUAAUUGGACACAAAUUUGGAUGGAAAUUCGGAUUUAUUGGGCUACACAUAUUAUUUCGCUGUUUUGGCCAUAUCUGGAGUUCCGUACAUCGGAUUUUGAUGAUCUUACAGCCCACGCGAAGCUUAGAGAAUUUUCUUCAAUUCAGAGAUGGUCCAAUAUCCAAAACCCAACUGGAAAAGCCCAGAAACUGUGGAGAAAACAGACCUACGAAUUUUAAUUACAGAAUCCUAUUCGGUUUCGGAGGCUGCCUUGUAAAUUCAUUAAAGCAUUAAAAUACUUUUAUUCUAGGAGAUCAAUAUUAGUUUUUAUCAGAGAUACAUAGAUAGAGAUAUAGAGAGAAGAUAAGAGACUUUUACUUUUCUUCUUGUUCAAGAUUUGAAGAUUGAAAGUUUUUCUUCUAUUCUUAAUAAUAGUUUAAUUAUGCGUUUUUAUUACAUCUUGUGUUUUGUUAGUUUAAUUAUGAGUGAGUAGAUCUAUAAUCCGGGGUUAAGUUGAACCCUAACUAUGAUAGAUGCAUGAUUCUCCCACCCCAAACUGAUUGUUUAAUUGCUCUUGCUUAUUGAGUUGUGCUGAUUAACAAUUACAUGUCAGGCAUGAUUAUGUGAUUUGUUUGAACCAAUAUCUAUUUACCUUCAGAAGUUGGACUUAGAUGGUUGUGAUUUAUCCAAUAAGGACAUGAAAUUCUCCAUGGAAAUAGGUAGAAUGGAUUGUUAGGAAGCCAGGAUGUUGUGUUUAAUGUCUCUAAAUUGCAUGAUACCAUGGAAAUAGGCUUGAUUGUAUUGUUAGAGAAGCCAUUAAUACUCGGAAGAGGUUAAUGGUAUUUUAUAGGGCGCAUCUUUCCUCUUGAGUAAUAUAUUUGAUUGAUUGGGGUAGGGAAUCGUAAUUGCAUUGAUUCAUGCUAGUGGGGAUACUUAAUUCUGGAUGUUUUUAAUUAAUUGAUAAAAUCCUUAUUUGCCUUAGUAUAAUUAGUUUAAUAAAUCUCAAAAUAUUAUUGUGUUCUUUGAUUAGUUGAAAUUGGUCAGAAAUAACUAGUGUUUGACACAUUUGUCUCUGUGGGAUCGACUCUGACUUGCCCUGCUACAUUGUUAGGAGGAAUUGUUAGAAUUAUUAUUUGAUAGGUAUACGACAGCCUUGUCACUUGGCUCUUGCAUUCAUCAGAUUAAGNNNNNNCUUUUAAGAGUUAAUUGCAUUUGGCACCUCUUUAAUUUCAGCAUGUUGCACAUUGCACCUAAUAGUUUUGGAAUAAACACUAUGCAGCCCCUUACUUUUAACCGGUAGACACUUUGCACCCUUUCCGUUAUCUUCUGCCGUUCCCGUUAACUCUUAAAGGGGCAUUUUGGGAAAUUUUAUUAUAUUUAAUUAAAAUCAGACUUUUAUUAAAUUUUCCGACCAUCUAAACGAUAUUUUUCGGAAAUCUAUUUUUCAGUAGUCUGUAAUAUAAUAGUGAUCUGUGUCUAUAUCUUUAUAUGUAGUACUCCAUAUGUGUCCUAGGUAGUUUAUCUUAGAGGACGAUAGUACAGAUUUUUUUUACUCAGAAAGGAAAUCUCAAAAUUAACUUAUGGAACUAUAUUUAUAAAAAGUGGGAACCUUAAAAUACGUGAUCAGUAGUGGUAAAGAACUAUAAAGUCAAGUGAUACUAUAUUUUUGUGGAGUCUUAAAAUAAUUCAUAAAACAAAAUUUUUUAGGUUCUUGAAAUGCCUGUUAAACUCUCGUACUUCAAGGUAAACUAGCUAAGGGACAUAUAGAUGACUGUAUAUAAUGUUAUAGACACAUAUCAUAUUACCAUAAUAUUGCAGACUACCACUAUGUUUUUAUAAUGCUAAAAAAAUAACAUAUUGUUAAUAAUCAAAUCAAAACAUAACGUUAGUGACAAAAAAAAAUCCAACGUUUUUUUAAGGAAAAAAAACCAACAUUAAAUUUUAUUCAGAAAAAAUAAAAUAAAAUAAUUUUUGAAAUUUUUUGGAGUCUCAAAAUGCGUGUCCAACUCUCGUCCUCCAAGGUAAACUAUCUAGGACACUACAUAAAGAUAUAAACACAUAUCAGAUCGCCAUUAUAUUGCAGACUAACACUAUAUUUUAAUAAUACUAAAAAAAUAACAUAGUGUUAAUAAUCAAAUCCGAACCUAACGUUAGUGACAAAAAAAAAAUCCGAACCUAACAUUAGUGACAAAAAGGAAAAAAAUUAUAGUUCAGUGGUAAGUUUCUAAACAAAUAAUAAGUUGGAUGGCAAAAAAAUCUAUUUUCCCAUUAUUAUUUGAGAGGUAUACGACAGCCUUGUCACUGUGCCAAUCAUUUCUUUACUAUUUUAUUUUUGGAUGUUUCAUCCAAUUUUUUCCAUUUCAAAACUUAUCAAAAAUAAUUAAUGGAUCCCACCACAUUCCCAUUUUUUGUCCUUUUACACACAACUUUUACUCCACUAUCUUCUUUUUAUACACUGAAAAUCAAUAAGUCCCAUCACUCAUCCAUUUUUCAUUUCAUUUUCACUACUUUAUACAUAUUUUUUAAUCUUCGUAAGACCGUGACCAAAUCAAACAUAAACAAUUGGGUAGACGGAGGAAGGAUAAAAUAUGAGCUAGUAGGAUAGGUUAGCUGAAACAUAAGAAAUGAUAACAAGACUUAUAGUUUAAGAGAUAAUUAAACUAUUCGAAUAACUUUAAAUGGCCAGAAUACCAAAUUUUAAAACUUCCCUUUCAUUUGCAAUUUUAAACAGCAUGGGACUAUUUAGGCUUUGAUUUGGGCCUCUUGCCCAUUGUAGUUUAAGAUUUUUGAUUUUAAGCACAAGCCGGUUUUGGAGAUGCAACUAAAACUAUCUGUUUGUUGCUUGCAUGUUACAUGUGUACAGCACUACAGCGUCACUUUUACCAUAUUAUUAUUAAAUUUAUAUAUUUUAUAUUUUUAAGAGAUAUAUCUUUGAAUAUUACUCCAUCCGUCCUCCUCAAUUAUUUACGUUGGGGGACGGGAGCUCGGCACACAUUCUAAUACUCUCAAAAAAUAUAAUUUGAUAAGUUGUUUUGAAUUUUUUUCCCCUCGGAAUAAAUAUUUACUAUCUAAACUUUUAUAAAAAAAAAGAAAAAUUUCAAAAUGAAGUUAGUGAAACUAUGUUUGAUAUGCUCUUAAAAUUAUGUGUGUCGAGCAAUGAAAAAAGUUUAAAGAAAUGAGAGGGACAGAGGGAGUAACUAAUAAUUUUUAAAAAUUUUAUUCAUUAUAAUACUAAUAUAUGUCUAAAAUAUAUUUAUAUAUUAUAAAUUCAAGUUCCUUGGAGUACUCACAUUUACCGGAGUAUUGGAGUCCAAGAUCUAGACCGUCCAUUUAUAAUCUAAACUAAUGUUGUGUUUGGUUGGGGAGAAUGGAAUGGAAUGGAAUGAAAUGAGUAAAAAUACUUGAAACUAAUAAAGAUAGGAAGAAAAUUUUGAAAAAAAAAUGAGGAAGUGCAAAAUAGCUAUGAUGAUGAGAUUUGAGAAGAAAUUGAGGAUGUGGAGAAUGGAGCAUUCCAUCUCAAAUUGAAGGUGUGAAAUGUAGCACAUGAUAUAAGGAAUGGAAUGGAGGAAUGAAUGAAUUUCUUGAAAAUUGUCCAUAAAAUAGUUCAUUUUUCAUUCCAUUCCUUCCGGAAUCAUUCACCCCAACCAAACACAACACAAGGGUUCAUAUAAUUCUAUAUUUUAACUUCUUUACUUAUUUAAUUAUUGAUAUCGUUGGUGUAUAUGAAUAACCAACUCCGACAGUUGCACAGAAACAUGCAUUGUUCAAUGCAGUCGCCUCACCUAUAAACUUUGUUUUGUUCAGCGUUCUUGUAUCUACGUAAAUAUGAUUUAUGUAGAAGAAAUACGUAAACAUGGAGACUUCUUCGUUUCCCUUAAAUUAAAAAUUUUAAAUAACCAAAACCCAUUCAGAACAUUCACUAUAAUGUAUUACAAUUUCAUUAAUCAUUUUAAGAGAUAUAAUUUGAUCAUCAUGUUAUACAAUCAAAAAUUCUUUAAUCACUAUCAUUUAGUUCUGUAAAAUUUUAUCCUUUAAUUCCGCAAAAUUUUAUCCUAUUUGCUUUCGGGCUCCUCCCAAAAGGCCUCAUACUAAUGGAGUUCUUUGGCUGCUUAUAUUCAAGAUAAAUCUUCUUUAUUUUUCCGAUUUAGGACUUGGGUUGAACCCAUUCAACAAUCUCCCCUCAAUCCAAGAACCACUAAUCUUGUGACCCUUAUACCGCCGCUACUCAUCGGUUCCUCAUCUUGCGGGACACGCCGUCCGACCACCUUUGUCGGAAAGACUUUCGACACAAGCCGUCCAAGAUCUCCAAUCGUAGUUCUGGAGAGCCUCCCCCACAUCACACAACUGCAGCCCGCAACCCCAGGAUCAACUUCUUAACCUCGCUCUGAUACCACUUGUUGGGCCGCGCAACACCCUUUAACUCCGCAUUAGUAUGAUAUUGUCCGCUCUGGGCCGUGGCCAAGCCCGCACGGAUUUGCUUUCGGGCUCCUCCCAAAAGGCCUCAUACUAAUGGAGUUCUUUGGCUGCUUAUAUUCAAGAUAAAUCUUCUUUAUCUUUCCGAUGUGGGACUUGGGUUGAACCCACUCAACAAUAGCCACACUAAAAAAAUAAAUAGAAAUUAUAGUUUCUGACUUGAGUUUUGCUACGGACAUAUCCCUAAAUAUUGAUCUCUGCUUUGCAAAAAAUAUGGGUGCAGAACGGGAAAUUCUCUUGAACAAUAAAACUGAAACUCCUAGGCUAGAUGGUGUUCUGAUGUAACUGUUUAAUAUCAGUUAUUAAUGCACAUAAAAGAAGUAAGAAAAUUUAAGAAAAUAAAAUAACGUGGACCGUUAGAUCAGACUAUAAUGGAUGGUCUAGAUCUUGGACUCCAAUUCUCCAAAAAGUGAGUACUUCAAGAAACUUUAUAUAUUAAUUAGUAUAUAUUAAUAUAUUGAUGUAAUUAUAUAUUAACUCGUUAAAGCAGUGAAUCAGGUGAGAAUAUUUUGUUUGUAAGAAUAAUGAGAACAAUUGUUCUGCACUGUUUAGAAAGUGCAGAACAAUUGUUUUAGAAAAUUUUCACUUUUUGAAUGUUGUAUUGUUCUGCAACAGAACUGUUCUUAUGCUAAAAAAAUUUCUCCACUCAGCGCAACCCUAUUCGUUAAUAUAUAUGUAUAUAUAGAUAACUAUUUAAAAAAUAUUUAAAUUUAUUUUGAAAUAAGAAUUUAGUUUCAAUUUUUGAGAUUUGACCCAGGAAUCCAAUUGAUUUACCUCACCAUAUGCACAGUAUUUCAUAUAUGUCAAUAUAUUAGUUAAAUAUAUCAACAAGCUAUUGAUUAAAUUAUUAGCUUUGAAUUUUUGUGUUAGGUCAAUUAUGCUAUAGACAAAGGAAAUAAUAGUCUAAAUCUCAAUCUUAAACUUGCUCUUUAGUCAAUUUUAUACAUAUAGUCAAUAUCCAAAGUUAUGGAAGUCCAAGUCGUUUCAUCUUGUAUCGCGGUUUACUUGACGUUAUUGUUUUUCGUUUCAAAAUAAGAGGCGUUCUAAUAUUUUAUACAUAAUUAUAUCUUAAAUUAAAUAUAAAAAAAUUUAAAAUGAUUAAAAAGAGGUAAUGAGAAGAUAAAAAGAGAAAAAUAACAUAACAAAAGAAUAUAAUGUGGAAUAAGUAAGUUACAAGAACUUGGUGCGCCCUAGUCUACUCGUGGCAAGUUAGGAUGCAUGAUGCAUCACACAUCGUAAACACUAGCCUAAAUAUGAUAACUAAGAGAAAUAAAUCAAAUAAAUGGAUACUUAUAUACAUACAGUUAAAAGUUUUAGAACAUGAAGAAAAUGAAGAUUAGAGUGUUUAAAUCUAGCAGAUUACACGGUGAAAAUCUAAAAAGAUAUAUGAACAUGUAUCUUAAGAUGAGUGGAAUCAAAUUACGGUGACGGAAUUGACAAGGGUAUGCUUGAGUUGCUGAAAAAGCUUAAAGAAGUCUGAUGGUGGCGUGAAGAGAGGAAGAGAGGGGGAAACUUAAAGAUGAAAGAAAAUAAAGAGAUAAUUAAAGAAUAAACAACUCUGUUCGUACGCACUAAAAAAUAUCUCUAAAAAUGAAUGAAAAAUAAGAAAACAAUUGUCAACCGAUUAAUGAAUUCUAACUGUCAAUAACAUAGGGUGCGCUAAGUUAAAGGUUGCCUAUAAUUCACUGUAUAUACAACAAGGUGCAAUAACGGAAACAGAAAGAUGGAUUUUGUUAUAAAAAGUUAGAUAUCACCAACAUUUCCGAUGUCACCGGGAUCUGAGGGUAGUUGUUAUAUACUCGAAAUGUGGUUUGGACUUGCUUGAUAGGACCUAAAAACUGAAGAUAUUAUGUUUAGGAUGAGACUUUGUCAUAAUUGGGCUGUUCAGUGAGUGGGCUCACCACUUAUCCAAUGCCUUCAGGGAAGACACUUGGAACAAUUUAACAGGGAAAUAAUUUAUAUGAAAAUUCGAAGAGAAAGAGAAGUCCUUUUAUGCUUAGCGGGAUAUCUAUAAAUAUAGAUGAGUUAUGUCGUCAAGGUUGGAAGAUCAUGUUCUCCGUAUUCCACUGAGCCAUUCUCAUCGGGGAGUAUUAAGAUAUUAUUGAGAGGGUCUUGCUCU